RNAcentral lists this long non-coding RNA (1827 nucleotides) under Homo sapiens (human). RNAcentral's name for it is "HSALNT0408176". Lineage: Eukaryota; Metazoa; Chordata; Mammalia; Primates; Hominidae. The record is from RNAcentral.
AUACCUGCACUGAAGCAACAGUCAUCUUUAAGCCAAAUAGGCGGAGAGAAAUGACUUCUUCAAAGUAUUCAGACAGGGUCUCACUCCGUCACCCAGGCUGGAGUACAGUGGCACAAUCUCGGUUCUCUGCAACCUCCAUCGCCCAGGCUCAAGUGAUCCCCCCACCUCAACCUCCCAAGUAGCUGGGAUUACAAGCCUGCACCUCUAUGCCCAGCUAAUUUUUGUGUUUUUAGUAGAGACAAGGUUUUGCCAUGUUGGCCAGGCUGGUCUCGAACUCCUGACCUCAGGUGAUCCAAAAGCCUUGGCCUCCCCAAGUGCUGGGAUUACAGGCUUGAGCCACCACACCUGGCCAAUUAUUUUAUUAAGCCAGAUGAAUCUAGCUCUGGACAGUUAUAAGCAAAGAAAAACUAACGGAAAAAUACAGAGGCCUGAAGAAUCACAGAGGGAAACUCAUUUGUUCCUCUGGCAGCUCUCCCCAAGGACACCUGUGAGACAAAGUCAGAAGUGGCUUCCCUGGUGACCCAGAGAGACCACAGGGCUCUUGCCGCUGCUUCCUCUACUCCCGUAUUUUGCCGAGCUCUCUAAAUUGUCUCAGCUCUAGCCUGAAUCUAUGGUUUCAUGGAGAGCUCCCUAAAAUCUGUUGACAGAGGAAGAGAAGACUUGAACCUGGUUUACAGAUGGUACUGCACAAUAUGCAGGAACCACAUGAAAGCAGGCAGUUGAAGCACUGCAGCCUCUCUCUGGGACAUCUCCUAAGAAAAAUGAGGGAGCAUCCUCCCAUCCUCCAGCUUCAUUCCAUUGUGGCCGGAGAAGAUACUCUGUAUGAUAUCUACCUAAAAUCUGUAGAGGCUUGUUUUGUGUUCUAAAAUGUGGUUUAUCCUAGAGAAUAUUCCAUUUGCUUCUGAGAGAAUUGUGUAUCUGCUAUUGUACUAUGAAUGUUUGAUAUAUGUCUAUUAGAUCUGAUUGGUUUAUACUGUUAGUCAAGUUCACUAACUCUUCCCCAACCUACUAUCUAUUCAUUAUGAAAAAUAGGGCGUUGAAGUUUCCAAUUAUUAUAACUCUCUUUUCUGCCUUCAAAUUUGUCAAUGUUUACUUUAUGUAUCUUGUGACUCUGAAGUUUGGUGCAAAUAUAUUUAUAAUUGUUAUAUUUUCUUACUAUAGUGACUCUUACAAUAUACAAUGUAUUUAUUUGAUCUUGCAAUAGAUCUUGCCUUAAAUCUAUUUUGGCUGAGAUUAAUAUAGUACUCUAGUUCUCUGUUGGUUGCUAUUUUCAUGACUUUUUUUUUAUUCUUUCACUUUCCACCUAUUUGUAGUUAUAAUCUAAAGUGAAUCUUGUAGACAGCAUACGGUUGGAUCAUGUUUUAAUGUAACUCAAUUCUGCCAAUUUCUGACUUUUGAUUUAAGAGUUUAAUUCAUUUCCAAAAAUAUAAUGUUAAGGAAAGAUUUAUUUCUGCUGUUUUGCUAUUUAUUUUCUCUGUGUGUUAUACCUUUUUUGUUUCUCAUUGUCUCCAAUACGUUUUUAUGUUUAGUUGAUUUUGUUAAAUGUAUCAUUUGUUAUCUUCUCAUUUCCUUUUGAGUGCAUUUUUCAGAUAUUUUCCUAAUGGUUACCAUGGGAAUCACAAUUAACAUCUUACAUUUAUAACAAUCCAGAUUCAAUUGAGACCAACUUAGCUUCAUUAGCAAACAUUUUGCUUCUAAUAAGAUCUGCUCCUCCAUUAUGUUGAUGUCACAAAUCAUGUAUUUUGUAUUGUAUGCCCAAUAUAAUUAUUUUUUAUGGAUUUUUCUUUUAUAUUAUUAAAGAGAUAAAAAGUUCAAUUAUAAACCAAA